UACGUAGGGGGCGAGCGUUGUCCGGAUUCAUUGGGCGUAAAGAGCCCGUAGGCGGCUUGGCAAGUCGGGUGUGAAAACUUCAGGCUCAACCUGGAGCGGCCACUCGAUACUGCCAUGGCUUGAGUCCGGUAGGGGACCACGGAAUUCCUGGUGUAGCGGUGAAAUGCGCAGAUAUCAGGAGGAACACCGGUGGCGAAGGCGGUGGUCUGGGCCGGAACUGACGCUGAGGAGCGAAAGCGUGGGGAGCGAACAGG
Molecule: ribosomal RNA, 254 nt
Filed under: uncultured bacterium
Lineage: Bacteria
Description: partial 16S ribosomal RNA
Rfam family: Bacterial small subunit ribosomal RNA
Source: RNAcentral